Molecule: ribosomal RNA, 253 nt
Filed under: uncultured bacterium
Lineage: Bacteria
Description: partial 16S ribosomal RNA
Rfam family: Bacterial small subunit ribosomal RNA
Source: RNAcentral
UACGUAGGGUGCGAGCGUUAAUCGGAAUUACUGGGCGUAAAGCGUGCGCAGGCGGUUUUGUAAGUCAGGCGUGAAAUCCCCGGGCUCAACCUGGGAAUGGCAUUUGGGACUGCAAGGCUGGAGUGCGGCAGAGGAGACUGGAAUUCCUGGUGUAGCAGUGAAAUGCGUAGAUAUCAGGAGGAAUACCGAUGGCGAAGGCAGGUCUCUGGGCUGACACUGACGCUCAUGCACGAAAGCGUGGGGAGCAAGCAGG